Molecule: long non-coding RNA, 654 nt
Filed under: Helianthus annuus (common sunflower)
Lineage: Eukaryota; Viridiplantae; Streptophyta; Magnoliopsida; Asterales; Asteraceae
Description: hypothetical non coding rna
Source: RNAcentral
GACUAGGGAUGACAACCGAAGUUGAACGACAAAGCAUGCGCGGCUAAAUCUUUCAGUGACUUCCGCCCGGAUGAACGUUUACACGGUUUGACUUAAUUAUUCGUUUUUUCUGAUUCUUGUAAACUGGUAUAUCUUGACCACUUGUGUUGGAUUACUGGUAAACGUUUCUUGUGUUUGAAUUACUUGUCAUUUAUUAAGCGUAUUGGCAACUUUCUUGCGUUGUUAGCGGGUUGGUAAAUUGGUGGGUAAUUGAUACAAUCAAACGGGUUAUUAGGUUGCAUAGUGAAUCUUAAAAACUAUCCCUAUUAACUAAUCAAAUUCAUUAAUUCCGAGGCCAUGUCUGUGUGGUGUUUUGAAUCAGAAAACAGAUUUUUAUAUUAAAACGGGUAUUCGGGAUUCCGGGUGGAGGUUACUUCUUCUCAUCUUGAUAACACUUUUCGUGACAAAUCGUGUUUUCUUUUAAAACGACAAACAAACCCCCAAUUUAGAUAGUUUAGUUUUAAUUAAUUUUCUUUAACGCUAACCACAAAUUCCCCGUGGAUACGAUACCCUACUUACGCUAUCUACGUAGCUUAUUUAGGUUUUUGAUUGACCCUUACGACAGUCAUCAAAAUGGCGCCGUUGCCGGGGAAUUACUGUGUUUGUGCAGGAUGA